UGAUUCGAUUGGUGCAGGCCGGGAAUUUGAUCAUUGAACAAUAUUCCACGGUUCUCGGCAUCACUACGAUCUCCAA
RNAcentral lists this unclassified non-coding RNA (76 nucleotides) under Populus trichocarpa (black cottonwood). RNAcentral describes it as "precursor microRNA ptr-MIR168c". Lineage: Eukaryota; Viridiplantae; Streptophyta; Magnoliopsida; Malpighiales; Salicaceae. The record is from RNAcentral.